AUUGAACGCUGGCGGAAUGCUUUACACAUGCAAGUCGAACGGCAGCACGGACUUCGGUCUGGUGGCGAGUGGCGAACGGGUGAGUAAUGUAUCGGAACGUGCCCAGUCGUGGGGGAUAACGUAGUGAAAAUUACGCUAAUACCGCAUACGAUCUAUGGAUGAAAGCGGGGGAUCGCAAGACCUCGCGCGAUUGGAGCGACCGAUAUCAGAUUAGGUAGUUGGUGGGGUAAAGGCCCACCAAGCCAACGAUCUGUAGCUGGUCUGAGAGGACGACCAGCCACACUGGAACUGAGACACGGUCCAGACUCCUACGGGAGGCAGCAGUGGGGAAUUUUGGACAAUGGGCGAAAGCCUGAUCCAGCCAUUCCGCGUGCAGGAUGAAGGCCCUCGGGUUGUAAACUGCUUUUGUACAGAACGAAAAGGUUUCUACUAAUACUAGGAGCUCAUGACGGUACUGCAAGAAUAAGCACCGGCUAACUACGUGCCAGCCGCCGCGGUAA
RNAcentral lists this ribosomal RNA (500 nucleotides) under uncultured bacterium. Its description in RNAcentral is "partial 16S ribosomal RNA". It matches the Rfam family "Bacterial small subunit ribosomal RNA", at positions 30 to 523 of the family's 1533-position model. The record is from RNAcentral.